AAAGUUGUUGUUGAGUUUAGGAGCCCGCCUGAAGAAAGGAAAGGCGUUUUAUUUUUAAAAGUUGUUGAAAUCUCGCCAGCCUAAAGAAAGGAAUGGCAUUUUAUUUUCAAAGUUGUUGUUGAGGUCAGGAGCCCGCCUGAAGAAACGAAAGGCGUUUUAUUUUGAAAAGUUGUUGAAAUCUCGCCAGCCUAAAGAAAGGAAUGACAUUUUAUUUUCAAAGUUGUUGUUGAGGUCAGGAGCCUGCCUGAAGAGAGGGAAGGCGUUUUAUUUUUUAAAAGUUGUUGAAAUCACACCAGCCUAAAGAAAGGAAUGACAUUUUAUUUUCAAAGUUGUUGUUGAAGUCAGGAGCCCGCCAGAAGAAAGGAAUGGCGCUUUAUUUUCAAAGUUGUUGUUGAGGUCAGGAGCCCGCCUGAAGAAAGGAAAGGUGUUUUAUUUUUCAAAGUUGUUGAUGAAGUCAGGAUCCCGCCUGAAGAAAGGAAUGA
RNAcentral lists this long non-coding RNA (482 nucleotides) under Nicotiana tabacum (common tobacco). RNAcentral's name for it is "long non-coding RNA (NTAB_LNC010045)". The record is from RNAcentral. Lineage: Eukaryota; Viridiplantae; Streptophyta; Magnoliopsida; Solanales; Solanaceae.